GAUGAAGAACGCAGCGAAAUGCGAUAAGUAAUGUGAAUUGCAGAAUUCAGUGAAUCAUCGAAUCUUUGAACGCACCUUGCGCUCCUUGGUAUUCCGAGGAGCAUGCCUGUUUGAGUGUCAUGAAUCUCUCAAACUCUUAGUUUCAUUACUGAGUGUUUGGAUUUGGAGGUCUAUGCUGGCGCAAGUCAGCUCCUCUUAAAUACAUUAGCUUGGGUCUUGCAUGUCUGGAUCCUUGGUGUGAUAAUUAUCUACGCCAUGAUGUCCCUUCAAGCCCUGCUUCUAAUCGUCUGAAUAAGACAAUUUUUUACUUGACAUCUGACCUCAAAUCAGGUAGGACUACCCGCUGAACUUAAGCAUAUCAAUAAGCGGAGGA
This 373-nucleotide unclassified non-coding RNA is filed under the name soil metagenome. RNAcentral's name for it is "partial contains 5.8S ribosomal RNA, internal transcribed spacer 2, and large subunit ribosomal RNA". The stretch from base 1 to 120 matches the Rfam family "5.8S ribosomal RNA", at positions 35 to 154 of the family's 154-position model. The record is from RNAcentral.